GGGGGUGAUCGGUUUCGACUCUGGUCGUCGAUGCAGGAGAAGCGAGCCGUGGUCUCCGGAGCCACGUUAAAGAGCCGGAAACCAACACAAACGCCGAACACCAGUUCGCGCUGGCUGCUUAAUACGUAGCCCGUCCGUCCGACCCCAGUCCUACGGGUCGGGUACGGGCGUCAUAACGUAGGACUUACCCGAAUGGUUCUGCCGAUCGGCCGUCGGGAACAUCACAGGUCGUCUGGGGUCCAUCGCAGGUGCCGGCAGCGGCGGCGGACCCGAGAACAAGCAACCGGCUGCGCUCGGAGAAUGCCUGUUGAGAAGCCGGAGGACGCGGGUUCGAUUCCCGCCACCUCCACUU
RNAcentral lists this transfer-messenger RNA (352 nucleotides) under Actinomycetota bacterium. It matches the Rfam family "transfer-messenger RNA". Rfam says of the family: Bacterial tmRNA, also known as 10Sa RNA or SsrA, is named for its dual tRNA and mRNA-like properties. Its role is to liberate the mRNA from a stalled ribosome. The record is from RNAcentral. Lineage: Bacteria; Bacillati; Actinomycetota.